GGAAUUUUGCGCAAUGGACGAAAGUCUGACGCAGCAAUACCGUGUGAGGGAUGAAGCAUUUCGGUGUGUAAACCUCUGUCGUCGGUGAAUAAAGGUGUUGGGAGUGGAAAGCCCAGCAUUUGAAUGUAGCCGAGAAGGAAGCACCGGCUAACUCUGUGCCAGCAGCCGCGGUAAUACAGGGGGUGCAAGCGUUGUUCGGAAUCACUGGGCGUAAAGGGAGCGUAGGCGGAUCUACAAGACAGAGGUUAAA
This 250-nucleotide ribosomal RNA is filed under the name uncultured bacterium. RNAcentral's name for it is "partial 16S ribosomal RNA". It matches the Rfam family "Bacterial small subunit ribosomal RNA", at positions 358 to 599 of the family's 1533-position model. The record is from RNAcentral.